Molecule: ribosomal RNA, 495 nt
Filed under: uncultured bacterium
Lineage: Bacteria
Description: partial 16S ribosomal RNA
Rfam family: Bacterial small subunit ribosomal RNA
Source: RNAcentral
AUGAACGCUGGCGGCGUGCCUAAUACAUGCAAGUCGAGCGAACAGACGAGGAGCUUGCUCCUCUGACGUUAGCGGCGGACGGGUGAGUAACACGUGGAUAACCUACCUAUAAGACUGGAUAACUUCGGGAAACCGGAGCUAAUACCGGAUAAUAUAUUGAACCGCAUGGUUCAAUAGUGAAAGACGGUUUUGCUGUCACUUAUAGAUGGAUCCGCGCCGCAUUAGCUAGUUGGUAAGGUAACGGCUUACCAAGGCAACGAUGCGUAGCCGACCUGAGAGGGUGAUCGGCCACACUGGAACUGAGACACGGUCCAGACUCCUACGGGAGGCAGCAGUAGGGAAUCUUCCGCAAUGGGCGAAAGCCUGACGGAGCAACGCCGCGUGAGUGAUGAAGGUCUUCGGAUCGUAAAACUCUGUUAUUAGGGAAGAACAAAUGUGUAAGUAACUAUGCACGUCUUGACGGUACCUAAUCAGAAAGCCACGGCUAACUACGUG